Paramuricea clavata is the source of this 821-nucleotide non-coding RNA. NCBI's taxonomy places the organism in Eukaryota, Metazoa, Cnidaria, Anthozoa, Malacalcyonacea, Plexauridae. The record is from the annotation of a GenBank genome assembly.
AGAGAAAGAGCAAAAAUUUUAUAUUUGUUUAUGUGUUUUUGAUGAUUGAUGAAUGUGCAGAGCAAAAUUAAAAACUUGAUUCAAAAUUGAAGAAGAAAGAGGAAGCAUUGAGAAAACAGCACGAGAUUUAGACGAAGUUGUCGAAAAUAGGUAACAUUCCAUUUUGUUCAUUGCAAAAUCGUUCGCUGCAUUAACAAUUCCCUGAUUUUAUUCACAGAGAAUUAAAAAUAUUCUGUGUUCCCAAUUACCAACGAUUAAAUUGUGAAGCUUUUUUUUGGUUGUCUCAAGUACGAACACAAAAUAAUUUUAUUGAUCACUGGACCUGUAAUUUCGGAUCUGAACGUAUAAGUUCGAAUCUAUUCCCGUGAUCUUUAAUAUUGGGUACAGUCACAGUUUUACCUUAAAGCCCAUUUCCACUCGGGAAAAUUUCCACGGACAGAAAGUUGUCCGAAAACAUAAUGGUUAAAAGUUGAAAAUGUUCAUCUUCAAAAUUUUUGCCGACGGAAAAUUUGUGUCGGCCAAUCAAAUUUUACAAAAUUUUCUUUCGGCUGAAAAUUUUCCUGAGUGAAAAUGGGCCUUUAAAUUAACAUCGGAAACGAUUUCUUCACAUCGGAAACGAUUUCUUCGAUAGCCGUUUAAGCUGUUUGUUUCGAUUCCUUUAACAUCGGAAACGAUUUCUUCGAUAGCCGUUUUAGCUGCUUGAUUUUAUUUGAUGUCAACGCUUCUUACUAUUUGGUGUAGGAUUUUGGAACUGGAAGCUUCUUUAACUACGAGAUGAACUGUUUGACUAUCAAGCAGAGCGAGGAAUCGUUGUUGCAAAG